Molecule: ribosomal RNA, 301 nt
Filed under: uncultured bacterium
Lineage: Bacteria
Description: partial 16S ribosomal RNA
Rfam family: Bacterial small subunit ribosomal RNA
Source: RNAcentral
CAGCCGCCGCGGUAAUACGUAGGUGGCAAGCGUUGUCCGGAAUUAUUGGGCGUAAAGGGCUCGCAGGCGGUUUCUUAAGUCUGAUGUGAAAGCCCCCGGCUCAACCGGGGAGGGUCAUUGGAAACUGGGAAACUUGAGUGCAGAAGAGGAGAGUGGAAUUCCACGUGUAGCGGUGAAAUGCGUAGAGAUGUGGAGGAACACCAGUGGCAAAGGCGACUCUCUGGUCUGUAACUGACGCUGAGGAGCGAAAGCGUGGGGAGCGAACAGGAUUAGAUACCCCAGUAGUCCCUGUCUCUUAUAC